This 492-nucleotide ribosomal RNA is filed under the name uncultured bacterium. RNAcentral describes it as "partial 16S ribosomal RNA". It matches the Rfam family "Bacterial small subunit ribosomal RNA", at positions 29 to 507 of the family's 1533-position model. The record is from RNAcentral.
AGUGAACGCUGGCGGUAGGCCUAGCACAUGCCAGUCGAACGGCAGCACAGUAAGAGCUUGCUCUUACGGGUGGCGAGUGGCGGACGGGUGAGGAAUACAUCGGAAUCUACUUUUUCGUGGGGGAUAACGUAGGGAAACUUACGCUAAUACCGCAUACGACCUACGGGUGAAAGCAGGGGAUCUUCGGACCUUGCGCGAUUGAAUGAGCCGAUGUCGGAUUAGCUAGUUGGCGGGGUAAAGGCCCACCAAGGCGACGAUCCGUAGCUGGUCUGAGAGGAUGAUCAGCCACACUGGAACUGAGACACGGUCCAGACUCCUACGGGAGGCAGCAGUGGGGAAUAUUGGACAAUGGGCGCAAGCCUGAUCCAGCCAUACCGCGUGGGUGAAGAAAGCCUUCGGGUUGUAAAGCCCUUUUGUUGGGAAAGAAAAGCAGCAGGUUAAUACCCCGCUGUUCUGACGGUACCCAAAGAAUAAGCACCGGCUAACUUCGUG